This 253-nucleotide ribosomal RNA is filed under the name uncultured bacterium. Its description in RNAcentral is "partial 16S ribosomal RNA". It matches the Rfam family "Bacterial small subunit ribosomal RNA", at positions 524 to 776 of the family's 1533-position model. The record is from RNAcentral.
UACGAAGGGGGCUAGCGUUGUUCGGAAUCACUGGGCGUAAAGCGCACGUAGGCGGGUCGUUAAGUCGGGGGGGAAAUGCCAAGGCUCAACCUUGGAACUGUCUUCGAUACUGGCGAUCUCGAGUCCGGGAGAGGUGAGUGGAACUCCGAGUGUAGAGGUGAAAUUCGUAGAUAUUCGGAAGAACACCAGUGGCGAAGGCGGCUCACUGGCCCGGUACUGACGCUGAGGUGCGAAAGCGUGGGGAGCAAACAGG